GAGGAUAGUGGAAUUUCGUGUGUAGAGAUAAAAUUCACAGAUAUACGAAGGAACACCAAAAGCGAAGGCAGCUUUCUGGGUCUCUACUGACGCUGAGGUGCGAAAGCAUAGGGAGCAAACAGGAUUAGAUACCCUGGUAGUCUAUGCCGUAAACGAUGAGUGUUCGUCCUUGGUCUGCGCUGUAUGCAAAACGGCUGAUCAGGGGCCCAGCUAACGCGUUAAACACUCCGCCUGGG
This 236-nucleotide ribosomal RNA is filed under the name Grimmia montana. RNAcentral's name for it is "partial 18S ribosomal RNA". It matches the Rfam family "Bacterial small subunit ribosomal RNA", at positions 654 to 877 of the family's 1533-position model. Lineage: Eukaryota; Viridiplantae; Streptophyta; Bryopsida; Grimmiales; Grimmiaceae. The record is from RNAcentral.